RNAcentral lists this ribosomal RNA (253 nucleotides) under uncultured bacterium. RNAcentral's name for it is "partial 16S ribosomal RNA". It matches the Rfam family "Bacterial small subunit ribosomal RNA", at positions 524 to 776 of the family's 1533-position model. The record is from RNAcentral.
GACGAAGGGGGCAAGCGUUGUUCGGAAUUACUGGGCGUAAAGCGCGUGUAGGUGGUUGCCACAGUCAGGUGUGAAAGCCUUGAGCUCAACUCAAGAAAUGCACUUGAUACUGGGCGGCUAGAGGACCGGAGAGGAUAGUGGAAUUCCCAGUGUAGUGGUGAAAUACGUAGAGAUUGGGAAGAACACCAGUGGCGAAGGCGGCUAUCUGGACGGUUUCUGACACUAAGACGCGAAAGCGUGGGGAGCAAACAGG